Mycena rebaudengoi is the source of this 92-nucleotide non-coding RNA. Lineage: Eukaryota; Fungi; Basidiomycota; Agaricomycetes; Agaricales; Mycenaceae. The record is from the annotation of a GenBank genome assembly.
GGCUCGGUGGCGCUGGGGAGCGCGCCUGCCUCUGCUGCAUGGUCCAUGAUUCUGUAAUGCAGAAGGUGCCCGUUCGACUCGGGCCUGAGCCA